RNAcentral lists this ribosomal RNA (497 nucleotides) under uncultured bacterium. Its description in RNAcentral is "partial 16S ribosomal RNA". It matches the Rfam family "Bacterial small subunit ribosomal RNA", at positions 28 to 507 of the family's 1533-position model. The record is from RNAcentral.
GACGAACGCUGGCGGCGUGCCUAAUACAUGCAAGUAGAACGCUGAAGAGAGGAGCUUACUCUUCUUGGAUGAGUUGCGAACGGGUGAGUAACGCGUAGGUAACCUGCCUUGUAGCGGGGGAUAACUAUUGGAAACGAUAGCUAAUACCGCAUAACAAUGGAUGACACAUGUCAUUUAUUUGAAAGGGGCAAUUGCUCCACUACAAGAUGGACCUGCGUUGUAUUAGCUAGUAGGUGAGGUAAUGGCUCACCUAGGCGACGAUACAUAGCCGACCUGAGAGGGUGAUCGGCCACACUGGGACUGAGACACGGCCCAGACUCCUACGGGAGGCAGCAGUAGGGGAUCUUCGGCAAUGGGGGCAACCCUGACCGAGCAACGCCGCGUGAGUGAAGAAGGUUUUCGGAUCGUAAAGCUCUGUUGUAAGUCAAGAACGGGUGUGAGAGUGGAAAGUUCACACUGUGACGGUAGCUUACCAGAAAGGGACGGCUAACUACGUG